GGGAUGUGUGAUGUGUGAUGUGCGCGGGGCCGGGCGGGCGGGCGCGGGGCCCUGGCGCUCGGUGUAGGAUGGGGGUGCGAGUGUGGGAUGUGGGGUGUGGGCGGGGAUGGGGCGGGCGCGGGCGGGGCGCGGGGCCCGGGCGCGGGGCGCAGCGCGGGGCGCGGGGAUGGCGCCGGGGCGGGGAGCCCGGGUGGCCGGGCGCACGCGUCGAGCCGAGCGCACGGAGACGGGGUGUCCAGCAGAGCGGCCCGAGCCCUGCCCGCGGGAGAAGCGACCGGGUCGGCGCGGCGGGACACGGGGCCAUGCGGCUGCCCCGCCCCAGCACUGCAGCCCGCAGUCCAGCCCAACAGGCGCAGGACACAGGCCCCUUCCUUCGGGAAGGACAGGCUAGGGCCCCGCGCCCAGGGCCCGUCCUCCCUGCGUCUGCACGCACACCAGUCCUGCUCUGUUUCAUUUUCACGACGUGUUCCUUUCUGUCCUCCCCGCCACCCAUCGACCCUCCUAUCACCCGCCGGCCUUCGGCAGUCACCCGAGACCUCACGAGGCCCUUCUUUCUGAACGACACCAGCUGUCAGGUUAGGAAUCGGCCCAGCUGUGUGCAGAGCGAGGAGGCCGGGAGUGGGCUGGGGCUUCUCUCAGGCAGUCCUCCUCGUGGCCUGCAGUUGCCUCCCUCCUGCUGGCACCUGUGCAGCAUGACCUCUGCUCAGGGCCACAGGUGCUGGGGACAGUUACCAAACCCUCCUCAGGGAGAGACACAGGCAUGCUCACAACUGUGCCUGCAUCGGUGCACACACACACACACCUGUACUUGCACCCAUACAUAUACAUACACACACCUGGACAUGUACAUACAAACACACCUGUGCCUGCACACAUACACAUACACCUAUACAUGUACACACACACACCCAUAAUGUACACACAGACCUAUACAUGUGUGCACACACAUGUAUAUGCACAUACAUACACCUGUGACUUCACAUGUACAUACACACAGCUGUACAUGUAUACACACACCUGUGUCUGCACACAUACACACACAUGCACACCUGUACAUGUACACUUUGCAUGAACAUACACCUGUGCAUGUGCACACACCUGUACAUGCACAUGUGCAUAUACACACCUGUACAUGCACAUACACACACCUGUACAUGUACACACACAGCUGUACAUGCGCACACACCUGUGCAUGUACACACAUCUGUACAUGCACAUACAGACCUGCUCUUUCACGUGUGCAUACACACCUGUAUGUGUGCAUACACGCAGCUGUACAUGCACAC
Molecule: long non-coding RNA, 1286 nt
Filed under: Bos grunniens (domestic yak)
Lineage: Eukaryota; Metazoa; Chordata; Mammalia; Artiodactyla; Bovidae
Description: lncRNA (ENSBGRG00000012159.1)
Source: RNAcentral